GGGGCUGUAGGUCAGUGGUAGAGCGUUUGCCUAGCAUGCAUGAGGCACUGGGUUCGAUCCUCACUCAGCAUCA
This 73-nucleotide transfer RNA is filed under the name Marmota monax (woodchuck). RNAcentral's name for it is "tRNA.Ala". Lineage: Eukaryota; Metazoa; Chordata; Mammalia; Rodentia; Sciuridae. The record is from RNAcentral.